AAUCCGAAUUUUGACAUCUGGACAAGCUCCAUAUAAUUCGCCCCAUGUGUUAUUAGCUGCUCGAAUUAUUCAUCCAUGUUCCAUAUCAAUUGGCCAUUUUUGCUUCUUAUAAAGAUCUUUAGACAUGAGAUUUAUUUUAGAACCAUGGUCGACUAAAGCAACUAUUGGUUCUUCUAUAUCUCCUACUUUCACCAAUACCUCAAUAGUUGCCCUUGUCCAAUGCUUUCGAGUAUAAU
This 236-nucleotide long non-coding RNA is filed under the name Physcomitrium patens. RNAcentral's name for it is "long non-coding RNA (PPAT_LNC009115)". Lineage: Eukaryota; Viridiplantae; Streptophyta; Bryopsida; Funariales; Funariaceae. The record is from RNAcentral.